CGGUCCAUAUCCGGUGCAGGCGUAAGAGCAUUGAGAGGAGUCCUCCUUAGUACGAGAGGACCGGGAGGAACGCACMGCUGGUGUACCAGUUAUCGUGCCAACGGUAAACGCUGGGUAGCCAAGUGCGGAGCGGAUAACCGCUGAAAGCAUCUAAGUGGGAAGCCCACCUCAAGAUGAGUGCUCUCACCACUUUAAGUGGGUAAGGUCACGGGCAGAACACCCGUUUAUAGGCGGUAGGUGGAAGUGCAGUAAUGUAUGUAGCCGAGCCGUGCUAACAGACCGAGGGCUUGACCUCACAA
RNAcentral lists this ribosomal RNA (299 nucleotides) under Nostoc punctiforme NIES-2108. RNAcentral's name for it is "partial 23S ribosomal RNA". It matches the Rfam family "Bacterial large subunit ribosomal RNA", at positions 2632 to 2925 of the family's 2925-position model. The record is from RNAcentral. Lineage: Bacteria; Bacillati; Cyanobacteriota; Cyanophyceae; Nostocales; Nostocaceae.